GAGACUAUCCACUGUCAGAGCCCUGCGGUCGGCCCUUCCUGAAGAAAGGAGCCUGCUCCCGGCCCUUUCCCCAGCGGGCGCUGUUCUCUCCCUGACGCUUCGUGGAGCCAGAGAAGGAAAGGUUUGGAGGCACACCCCAUCGAGGGGAGGAAGAGGAGCCUGGCCCCGAAAAAGCCGGCGACAGAGGGGGUGAGAUCCCACUGGGAUCCCGAGGACGGGCGGCAGGAGGUCAAGAUUUAAAAACUUUCACAGUGCUCAGAGUGCUUUCAACAUUCUCACAAGCAAGGACUGAAAGUGGAAUCAAGAAGGCCCCCAGAUUUAGAGUUAUACCUCCUUCCUCUGACAAGCAGGCCUUGCAGACUUGGACAACAAAAGGGAGUGGCAGGUCUGCCCAGUGCAGGGCACUAAGAAAAAGGCACAGACAUCCCUCCAGGCCCACAAGAUGCCAUGUCAUCUUUGCUGCUUUGCCAGGAUGAAGACAACUUUUUAAGUUUGGAAAUCAUCACUCCCUCUUCGGAGCAACUGCAGAGCCUGUCUCCACCACUAGGUGCCGCCAUCAGUCAGCUUCCUCCCUGAGAACUGGAAACUUCAAGCAAAGCUAAUUCAUUCCUUUUUAUUUUUGCCUGAGGUUGAUUGGUUGGCACUAUAUUACUUGACUCAUGUUUUCAGCCUGGCUUUUUGCUGGUUAUUUUGGACUUUUCUUUCUGGACUGGCUUCAAAAUGUGUUCCUCUGGAUCUCAGCCUUUAUAUUAGAAGUGACACAGGGCACAAGCACACAAUUCCAAAGUUGGCCACAGAUGUCACACCAAAAAUUUUGCCCUAUACACUCAGACCCUGCAAUUCUAUGUCAAGAGUUCCAUCUUAGGGC
This is a long non-coding RNA of Dipodomys ordii (Ord's kangaroo rat), 868 nucleotides long. RefSeq lists it as uncharacterized. The record is from RefSeq and is a predicted model, not a curated record. The transcript has 3 exons. NCBI's taxonomy places the organism in Eukaryota, Metazoa, Chordata, Mammalia, Rodentia, Heteromyidae.